This 725-nucleotide long non-coding RNA is filed under the name Heterocephalus glaber (naked mole-rat). Its description in RNAcentral is "lncRNA (ENSHGLG00000039200.1)". The record is from RNAcentral. Lineage: Eukaryota; Metazoa; Chordata; Mammalia; Rodentia; Bathyergidae.
GUCAGUUGCUUCCUCGAUGUUCCUUUUACGUAGGAUUGUUGCUAAUGUGUGGCCUUUUAGAACGGGCUACUUGAAGGUCUCCCCUGAAAAAUUCCCCAUGUUUUUACGUUCAGGGAACACAGUCUCAAGCUUGGGCGCUUGACGGGUGAAAAGUGAGAAACAGAUUUUAGGAGCCUGUUUAUCCUUCUUAGUUCUGCCUGGAACAUUUACCCCUUUGGGCUUCCGUUUCAAGUAGCGUUUAGAUUAAGAAAUGCAAACAUUGUCAGAUUAUAUACAAAGAUCAGACUUCUCUUUUUGCUGUUUUGAGUAACAGCCGCAAUAUCCCAUCUUGGCUUACAUUUUCAAAUGUGUGAUUUGGACGAUAGUGUGUUAAUAGUUUUAAACACAUUGCAAUAAAAGAGAAGACUGGAAAAGAACACUUCAACCCGAAAAACUGAAAUUUUGGAGAUUGAACCUAGGGCCUCCUCCAUGGUAGGCAAGUGCUGUGCCCCUGAGGCACACCACAAGACAGGGCCACUAAGUUGUCCAGGCUGGCCUCCACCUUGCCAUCCUCUUACCUAGCAUGCCAAGCAGCUGGAAUUACAGGAUUAACUCAGCUGACUUGGGAUGCUCAAACCUUGCAAGUUCUGAAAAAAGAAGUCGCCCUAGACUGACUCCCAGGAGAUUCAAACCAGGCGUGGUGGCACAUACCUAUAAUCCCAGCACCUGGGAGGCUGAGGCAGGAG